AUACGGAGGAUCCGAGCGUUAUCCGGAUUUAUUGGGUUUAAAGGGUGCGCAGGCGGCCAUUUAAGUCAGCGGUUAAAUCGUGGGGCUCAACCCCAUUCUGCCGUUGAUACUGGGUGGCUUGAUUGCGGUCGAGGUUGGCGGAAUUCGUUGUGUAGCGGUGAAAUGCAUAGAUAUGACGAAGAACACCGAUUGCGUAGGCAGCUGACCAGACCGCAAAUGACGCUCAUGCACGAAAGUGCGGGGAUCGAACAGGAUUAGAUACCCUGGUAGUCCGCACAGUAAACGAUGAAUACUUGUUUUCGGCGAUAUAAUGUCGGAGGCAAAGCGAAAGCGAUAAGUAUUCCACCCGGGGAGUACGCCGGCAACGGUGGAACUCAAAUGAAUUGACGGGG
Molecule: ribosomal RNA, 392 nt
Filed under: uncultured bacterium
Lineage: Bacteria
Description: partial 16S ribosomal RNA
Rfam family: Bacterial small subunit ribosomal RNA
Source: RNAcentral